RNAcentral lists this ribosomal RNA (843 nucleotides) under Salmonella enterica. RNAcentral describes it as "partial 23S ribosomal RNA". It matches the Rfam family "Bacterial large subunit ribosomal RNA", at positions 711 to 1554 of the family's 2925-position model. RNAcentral also lists the same sequence under 2 other names. The record is from RNAcentral. Lineage: Bacteria; Pseudomonadati; Pseudomonadota; Gammaproteobacteria; Enterobacterales; Enterobacteriaceae.
AGACCCGAAACCCGGUGAUCUAGCCAUGGGCAGGUUGAAGGUUGGGUAACACUAACUGGAGGACCGAACCGACUAAUGUUGAAAAAUUAGCGGAUGACCUGUGGCUGGGGGUGAAAGGCCAAUCAAACCGGGAGAUAGCUGGUUCUCCCCGAAAGCUAUUUAGGUAGCGCCUCGUGAAUUCAUCUCCGGGGGUAGAGCACUGUUUCGGCUAGGGGGCCAUCCCGGCUUACCAACCCGAUGCAAACUGCGAAUACCGGAGAAUGUUAUCACGGGAGACACACGGCGGGUGCUAACGUCCGUCGUGAAGAGGGAAACAACCCAGACCGCCAGCUAAGGUCCCAAAGUCAUGGUUAAGUGGGAAACGAUGUGGGAAGGCCCAGACAGCCAGGAUGUUGGCUUAGAAGCAGCCAUCAUUUAAAGAAAGCGUAAUAGCUCACUGGUCGAGUCGGCCUGCGCGGAAGAUGUAACGGGGCUAAACCAUGCACCGAAGCUGCGGCAGCGACGCUUAUGCGUUGUUGGGUAGGGGAGCGUUCUGUAAGCCUGUGAAGGUGGCCUGUGAGGGUUGCUGGAGGUAUCAGAAGUGCGAAUGCUGACAUAAGUAACGAUAAAGCGGGUGAAAAGCCCGCUCGCCGGAAGACCAAGGGUUCCUGUCCAACGUUAAUCGGGGCAGGGUGAGUCGACCCCUAAGGCGAGGCCGAAAGGCGUAGUCGAUGGGAAACGGGUUAAUAUUCCCGUACUUGGUGUUACUGCGAAGGGGGGACGGAGAAGGCUAUGUUGGCCGGGCGACGGUUGUCCCGGUUUAAGCGUGUAGGCUGGUUUUCCAGGCAAAUCCGGAAAAUCAAG